AAACUGCGAUAAGUAGUGUGAAUUGCAUUUAGUGAAUCAUCGAAUCUUUGAACGCACCCUGCACUCACUGGUAUUCCGGUGAGUACGCCUGUUUCAGUAUCAUUGAAAACACACAAUCAAAACAUUUUCUUUGGUUUGAUUGGCUUUGGGUCUAUCAAAAAGUUUGGCUUGUUUCUUACAAGCCAAGCGGCCUGAAAUAUAUUGUCUGGCUAAUUGCAUCGUUGAUGAUCGCUAUUAGACUUUGGCUUUUUUAAAUGAACUGGAGGUUGAUUAACCAGUUUUGGCUUUAGUCAAAUGGUCAUUGUAAAAAAAAUCUCGAUCUUGGCUAGGUGUUUAUAGCCGAAAAUUUUUUUUUGGCUAUAACCGAAACCAAUAUAAUCACAUUUAGUUAUCGAUCUGAAAUCAGGUGGGACUACCCGCUGAACUUAAGC
This 431-nucleotide unclassified non-coding RNA is filed under the name plant metagenome. RNAcentral's name for it is "partial contains 5.8S ribosomal RNA, internal transcribed spacer 2, and large subunit ribosomal RNA". The stretch from base 1 to 102 matches the Rfam family "5.8S ribosomal RNA", at positions 50 to 154 of the family's 154-position model. The record is from RNAcentral.